Long non-coding RNA from Amblyraja radiata (thorny skate), 513 nucleotides. RefSeq lists it as uncharacterized. NCBI's taxonomy places the organism in Eukaryota, Metazoa, Chordata, Chondrichthyes, Rajiformes, Rajidae. The record is from RefSeq and is a predicted model, not a curated record. The transcript is spliced from 3 exons.
ACUGGUUAGGUUGUGAUUUGUCGGACAGUGGGACAACAUGCCCUCUGGUGCUUAGUGAUAUCCCCCUGGAGAUUCAUUUUCUCUAUGUACUGUCACUUGGUAUCUGGCCAACGGUUUCAUCACCCAUGUCCAAAUCUAUUUGCCUUACACUUGCUCUUCCAUAGAUUUGUGGGAGUCAGUCAGGAUCCACCCUAGGUUUGUGUUUGUCCAUCCUGUGUGUGGCCUAAAGGGUAUAAUUUCGGUAGGCUGUGCGCCACUGAAGUGGUGCAUUAACUUAAUGAAUCGAUAAAAUCUAUGUAGGUCCCCCUGCACUUGUUCGUUGUGGGAUUUGGGAGUAGGGACGAAGGGUCUUGGCGACCGCUUCCUGUGCUCGAUCCGUAGGUUGGCCCUCGCGGUAUUCAUCAUCCUGAUAUUCUAGGCUAUUUUGCUCGCGGAGACCGCUUGCCGAACUCUUCCCGACUGGGCAACGAUAUUCCAGUUUCGCUAUCUCUGUAGCUUCUUCAGGGAAAGAUA